GAUGAACGCUGGCGGCGUGCCUAACACAUGCAAGUCGAGCGGAAGGACGAGAAGCUUGCUUCUCUGUUGUUAGCGGCGGACGGGUGUGUCACACGUGGAUAACCUACUUAUAAGACUGGGAUCACUUCGGGAAACCGGAGCUAAUACCGUAUAAUCUUUUGCACCGCAUGGUUCGAAGGUGAAAGACGGUCUUGCUGUCUCUAAUAGCUGGAUCUGCGCUGCAUUAGCUAGUUGGUAAGGUAACGGCUUACCAAGGCAACGAUGCGUAGCCGACCGGAGAGGGGGAUCGGCCGCACUGGAACGGGGACGCCGACCUGGCUCCUACGGGAGGCACCAGAAGGGAAUCGUCGGCAGUGGUCGAAAGCCUGACGGAGCGGGGCCACGUGUGUGAUGAAGGUCUUCGGUUCGUAAAGCUCGGUUAUUGGUGAUGAACAGAUGUGGAAGUAGCCGUAGACUGCUUGACGGUACCGAGUCAAAAAGCCCCGGCUAACUACGUG
This 497-nucleotide ribosomal RNA is filed under the name uncultured bacterium. RNAcentral describes it as "partial 16S ribosomal RNA". It matches the Rfam family "Bacterial small subunit ribosomal RNA", at positions 28 to 507 of the family's 1533-position model. The record is from RNAcentral.